Molecule: long non-coding RNA, 546 nt
Filed under: Elaeis guineensis (African oil palm)
Lineage: Eukaryota; Viridiplantae; Streptophyta; Magnoliopsida; Arecales; Arecaceae
Description: long non-coding RNA (EGUI_LNC073981)
Source: RNAcentral
GUGGCUUGGAUGAUUUUUAUUGAAAAGUCCAUAACCAUUUGAUAUCUUUUAUAUGCUCUUACAUGCUGGUAGUUAGAAUUAAAUAUAAUUGCAUGUGAUGCAUUUGUAUAUGUUUUGGAUGUGCAUGAGACCCAAAUCCCUCGUUUAAAUUAUAUUAAAUCAUAAUGACGAAGUGUUAAGAACACUACCCAUGUCUUCCUUCAUGCCAAACCAGUAUUAUGUCAAGAACCAUAGUAGGCUUGUUGUGCUAUAUCCACAAGGCUUGCUGUGGGGAUUGAUGUGAUACUGUCUUGAUGCAUAAUGAAACUAAUUGUACUUAGCUCAUACUAAGUCAAUAGAGUAUGUCAAAAACUGUAGUGAGUUUGUUGUGCUAUCUACAAGGCUUGCUAUAGAAAUUGAUAUGAUGUUGAUUUAGUGAUGCUUAUGGCAUAUUUUGGUAGUGCUGUCUUGUUGUGCUAUCCACAAGGAUAGUAUUAUUCAGAUAUGACCAUACAAAAUUGAAGGAUACGACUUAACUAAAAUACUAUAGUUUGUUGUGCUAUCCAC